UACGUAGGGGGCGAGCGUUAAUCGGAAUUACUGGGCGUAAAGCGUGCGCAGGCGGUUCGUUGUGUCUGCUGUGAAAGCCCCGGGCUCAACCUGGGAAUGGCAGUGGAAACUGGCGAGCUGGAGUGUGGCAGAGGGGGGUGGAAUUCCGCGUGUAGCAGUGAAAUGCGUAGAGAUGCGGAGGAACACCGAUGGCGAAGGCAGCCCCCUGGGCUGACACUGACGCUCAGGCACGAAAGCGUGGGGAGCAAACAGG
RNAcentral lists this ribosomal RNA (253 nucleotides) under uncultured bacterium. Its description in RNAcentral is "partial 16S ribosomal RNA". It matches the Rfam family "Bacterial small subunit ribosomal RNA", at positions 524 to 776 of the family's 1533-position model. The record is from RNAcentral.